GUCGGGCGUGGUGGCGCACACCUGUAAUCCUAGAGGCCGGGGAGGCUGAGGUAGGAGGAUCAUGAGUUCAGAGUCAGCCUCAGCAACUUAGUGAGGCCCUAAGUAACUCAGCAAGACUUUGUCUCUA
This 127-nucleotide small RNA is filed under the name Marmota monax (woodchuck). Lineage: Eukaryota; Metazoa; Chordata; Mammalia; Rodentia; Sciuridae. The record is from RNAcentral.